GCUUGUCUCAAAGAUUAAGCCAUGCAUGUCUAAGCAUGAGCCGAAUUAUGGUGAAGCCGCGAAUGGCUCAUUACAACAGCCGUUGUUUCUUGGAUCUUGAUUUACUUGGAUAACUGUGGUAAUUCUAGAGCUAAUACAUGCAACCAAGCUCUGACCUUGCGGAAGGAGCGCAUUUAUUAGAACAAGACCAAUCAGGCUUUGCCUGCAAUCUGGUGACUCUGAAUAACUUUGCUGAUCACACGGUCCUAGCACCGGUGACAUAUCUUUCAAGUGUCUGCCCUAUCAACUUUCGAUGGUAGUUUAUGUGCCUACCAUGGUGGUAACGGGUAACGGAGAAUAAGGGUUCGACUCCGGAGAGGGAGCCUGAGAAAUGGCUACCACAUCCAAGGAAGGCAGCAGG
Molecule: ribosomal RNA, 400 nt
Filed under: Xyzzors environmental sample
Lineage: Eukaryota; Metazoa; Nematoda; Chromadorea; Desmodorida; Desmodoridae
Description: partial small subunit ribosomal RNA
Rfam family: Eukaryotic small subunit ribosomal RNA
Source: RNAcentral